Molecule: long non-coding RNA, 615 nt
Organism: Dinoponera quadriceps
Lineage: Eukaryota; Metazoa; Arthropoda; Insecta; Hymenoptera; Formicidae
Exons: 2
Source: RefSeq, a predicted model, not a curated record
CAGAUGCGAACGCUAAAGAUUAUCUCCUCAGUAUUAUUCCUCGGUCGAGCGCCGGCACAAGUUGCAAAUCUAACGGGAUGCUCAUCAAUUAUUCAUAAUUUUUUUAAAGCAAUAUCUUCAAUUAAUGGCGCUGCGUUGUUAUCUUAUAUGCUGGACGUAUUAUACAGGUUAAUCGCAAAGAUGUGAAAUUCACGUGUAUCACAUAAAGGAAAAUUGUUAUCAAGGGUCGCUUACCACGGGUCGCUUACCACUGGCCUUCUCAUUUCAAAGGCCUGCUAGCAGUCAAAGGAGAAGCAGUGCCGUGCACGGCGGUCUAACGGACAGCGUAGUAAAUAAAGCAGCGUCAUUUAAUGCAAAAAUAAGUAUAUCAUGCUUUGGACUUGUAAUAAUGAGUUAAGAAAUGUCUAAUUAAAUUUAGACAAAUUAUAUCUACACCCACACAACGUACGCGCGCACACACAUACGACGAUGCCUCAAUUGCUAUCUGCUAAAUCGUUAGACCGGUGUAUAAGUGAAACAGUAAGCGAUGUUGAGAUCCGAACUUUAGCGAUAAUAAUAAUUACAUGUGCAAAAAGACUGACUGGAUUUAAAUAAAAUUAUCAAAGAUGUUUUUAA